This 468-nucleotide ribosomal RNA is filed under the name uncultured bacterium. RNAcentral's name for it is "partial 16S ribosomal RNA". It matches the Rfam family "Bacterial small subunit ribosomal RNA", at positions 28 to 507 of the family's 1533-position model. The record is from RNAcentral.
GACGAACGCUGGCGGCGUGCUUAACACAUGCAAGUCGAACGGAAAGGCCCUGCUUUUGUGGGGUGCUCGAGUGGCGAACGGGUGAGUAACACGUGAGUAACCUGCCCUUGACUUUGGGAUAGCUUCAGGAAACUGGGGCUAAUACCGGAUAGGAGCUCCUGCUGCAUGGUGGGGGUUGGAAAGUUUCGGCGGUUGGAGAUGGACUCGCGGCUUAUCAGCUUGUUGGUGGGGUAGUGGCUUACCAAGGCUUUGACGGGUAGCCGGCCUGAGAGGGUGACCGGCCACAUUGGGACUGAGAUACGGCCCAGACUCCUACGGGAGGCAGCAGUGGGGAAUAUUGCACAAUGGGCGGAAGCCUGAUGCAGCAACGCCGCGUGCGGGAUGACGGCCUUCGGGUUGUAAACCGCUUUCGCCUGUGACGAAGCGUGAGUGACGGUAAUGGGUAAAGAAGCACCGGCUAACUACGUG